AACGAACGCUGGCGGCAUGCCUAACACAUGCAAGUCGAACGAGGCCUUCGGGCUUAGUGGCGCACGGGUGCGUAACACGUGGGAAUCUGCCCUUCGGUUCGGAAUAACAGUUAGAAAUGACUGCUAAUACCGGAUGAUGACGAAAGUCCAAAGAUUUAUCGCCGAAGGAUGAGCCCGCGUAGGAUUAGGUAGUUGGUAGGGUAAUGGCCUACCAAGCCGACGAUCCUUAGCUGGUCUGAGAGGAUGAUCAGCCACACUGGGACUGAGACACGGCCCAGACUCCUACGGGAGGCAGCAGUGGGGAAUAUUGGACAAUGGGCGAAAGCCUGAUCCAGCAAUGCCGCGUGAGUGAUGAAGGCCUUAGGGUUGUAAAGCUCUUUUACCAGGGAUGAUAAUGACAGUACCUGGAGAAUAAGCUCCGGCUAACUCCGUGCCAGCAGCCGCGGUAAU
Molecule: ribosomal RNA, 450 nt
Filed under: uncultured bacterium
Lineage: Bacteria
Description: bacterial SSU rRNA
Rfam family: Bacterial small subunit ribosomal RNA
Source: RNAcentral